UGGGGAACCUUGCGCAAUUGGCGAAAGCCUGACGCAGCAACGCCGCGUGGGGGAUGACGGCCUUCGGGUUGUAAACCUCUUUCGACCGGGACGAAGGAUUCGUUUGACGGUACCGGUAGAAGAAGCACCGGCUAACUACGUGCCAGCAGCCGCGGUAAUACGGGGGGUGCAAGCGUUGUCCGGAAUCAUUGGGCGUAAAGCGUUCGUAGGCGGUACGUCAAGUCUGGUGUUAAAGCCCGAGGCUCAACCUCGGUUCGGCAUUGGAUACUGGCAAACUAGAAUGUGGUAGAGGUAAAGGGAAUUCCUGGUGUAGCGGUGAAAUGCGUAGAUAUCAGGAGGAACAUCGGUGGCGAAAGCGCUUUACUGGACCAUUAUUGACGCUGAGGAACGAAAGCCAGGGGAGCAAAUG
This 409-nucleotide ribosomal RNA is filed under the name uncultured bacterium. RNAcentral describes it as "bacterial SSU rRNA". It matches the Rfam family "Bacterial small subunit ribosomal RNA", at positions 355 to 774 of the family's 1533-position model. The record is from RNAcentral.